Molecule: ribosomal RNA, 465 nt
Filed under: uncultured bacterium
Lineage: Bacteria
Description: partial 16S ribosomal RNA
Rfam family: Bacterial small subunit ribosomal RNA
Source: RNAcentral
GACGAACGCUGGCGGCGUGCUUAACACAUGCAAGUCGUACGGUAAGGCCCUUUCGGGGGUACACGAGUGGCGAACGGGUGAGUAACACGUGAGUAACCUGCCCACAACUUUGGGAUAACGCUAGGAAACUGGUGCUAAUACUGGAUAUGUGCCCCUGCUGCAUGGUGGGGGUUGGAAAGCUCCGGCGGUUGUGGAUGGACUCGCGGCCUAUCAGCUUGUUGGUGGGGUAGUGGCCUACCAAGGCGGCGACGGGUAGCCGGCCUGGGAGGGUGACCGGCCAAAUGGGGAUUGAGAAACGCCCCAGACCCCGAGGGGAGGAGGAGGGGGGGAAUAUUGAAAAAGGGGCGCAAGCUGGAUGCAGCAACCCCGGGGGGGGAAGGACGGCCUGGGGGUUGAAACCCGUGUUCAGCAGGGAAGAAGCUUUUUGUGACGGUACCUGAAAAAGAAACACCGGCAAACUACGUC